RNAcentral lists this long non-coding RNA (433 nucleotides) under Mus musculus (house mouse). RNAcentral describes it as "predicted gene, 40271 (Gm40271)". Lineage: Eukaryota; Metazoa; Chordata; Mammalia; Rodentia; Muridae. The record is from RNAcentral.
AUCAGAGAUACACAGGCAGUGAAUGUCAGCACUGAGCUCCAUGCUCUUCUCAUUUCAAGGCUGCAUAGUUGCUCUUGAAUUCACUCCAUUCUUCCUGCCACCUUUGAGAAGUCCCACUGCUGUCUUUUGGGUAAUAUCUUGGUUCCAGUAUCUGUCUACAGGACCCAUUUCAUGUGGAAGGAUGCAGUGUCUAGAUGAGCAGCAAUGACCUUUGCCCUCCAAACCAUCUUGCCAACCCUCCACUAGAAGUUUCUGCAGUGAAGAAUAAUACAGUGGCCUCUGAGUGCCUGCCACAACAUGUGAGACUGAGGGCAUAGACUUUUUUAUCUUCAUUGUUUUGGCUUAAUAUGAAAGAGGGUCGUAGUCUACCACCUUGUACUUACAAAAGAAUCUGCCCUCCCCCCCAGAUUAAAGGCACAUACUAUUACUGUCA